RNAcentral lists this ribosomal RNA (558 nucleotides) under Meyerozyma caribbica. Its description in RNAcentral is "partial large subunit ribosomal RNA". It matches the Rfam family "Eukaryotic large subunit ribosomal RNA", at positions 83 to 658 of the family's 3401-position model. The record is from RNAcentral. Lineage: Eukaryota; Fungi; Ascomycota; Pichiomycetes; Serinales; Debaryomycetaceae.
GUAGCGGCGAGUGAGCGGCAAAAGCUCAAAUUUGAAAUCUGGCACCUUCGGUGUCCGAGUUGUAAUUUGAAGAUUGUAACCUUGGGGUUGGCUCUUGUCUAUGUUUCUUGGAACAGGACGUCACAGAGGGUGAGAAUCCCGUGCGAUGAGAUGCCCAAUCCUAUGUAAGGUGCUUUCGAAGAGUCGAGUUGUUUGGGAAUGCAGCUCUAAGUGGGUGGUAAAUUCCAUCUAAAGCUAAAUAUUGGCGAGAGACCGAUAGCGAACAAGUACAGUGAUGGAAAGAUGAAAAGAACUUUGAAAAGAGAGUGAAAAAGUACGUGAAAUUGUUGAAAGGGAAGGGUUUGAGAUCAGACUCGAUAUUUUGUGAGCCUUGCCUUCGUGGCGGGGUGACCCGCAGCUUAUCGGGCCAGCAUCGGUUUGGGCGGUAGGAUAAUGGCGUAGGAAUGUGACUUUGCUUCGGUGAAGUGUUAUAGCCUGCGUUGAUGCUGCCUGCCUAGACCGAGGACUGCGAUUUUAUCAAGGAUGCUGGCAUAAUGAUCCCAAACCGCCCGUCUUGAA